UAUUCGUUUCGGCUCUGCGGCUAUCGUAAGAAUCCAUUGGUUGAAUGUGAAAUAUUGUUUGUGCGUUGGACGACAUUGUUUGUAUUUAUUUUGGGUAUUGAUUAGUUUGAACUUGAAGAACUUGAGAAUAGAUAAAAUAGGAGUAACAGGCAGACGAAGGUCUAUUAAAACCGUGAACUGAUGGUUACCCCGCCUGCGCUAUCGAUAUACACCGACGAGACACCAGCGGAAGAUGAUAGGUUAGGAUGAAUGCAGGUCAGUUAGCCCAUCGUGACGAAUUUCACAAGAAUUAACCACGAUGGCUUCCAGGUGGAACCACGCGGAGGUCGACCUGGAGGAGUAUAUUCCCCCCACAAUAUCAGGAUCAGGAUACAACAGUUCCUUAAUAAUACACUUGGCAUCACAUUCGGAACAUGUGCCACGCCAGUGUUACACGGAAACGCAGCAGUAUUUCCACCGAUACGACAACAUAACCUUCAAGAAAAGAGUAUAUUCCUUUUUAAAAGGCCGGCAGCACACCUGCAAUGCCGCUGGUGUUGUGGGUGAUCAUGGGCGGCGGUAGUCACUUACCAUCAGGUGAGACGCAUGCUGGUUUGCCCCCUGUGUUGUAAAAAAAAAAUAUCCGGGACCGAAAAAAAAACAAAAUAAAAUGUCUAUAGAUUAUUGGAAAUGUUGAACACUUUAUUGC
Long non-coding RNA from Galleria mellonella (greater wax moth), 688 nucleotides. RefSeq lists it as uncharacterized. The record is from RefSeq and is a predicted model, not a curated record. The transcript is spliced from 3 exons. Lineage: Eukaryota; Metazoa; Arthropoda; Insecta; Lepidoptera; Pyralidae.